RNAcentral lists this ribosomal RNA (433 nucleotides) under uncultured bacterium. RNAcentral's name for it is "partial 16S ribosomal RNA". It matches the Rfam family "Bacterial small subunit ribosomal RNA", at positions 29 to 507 of the family's 1533-position model. The record is from RNAcentral.
AACGAACGCUGGCGGCAUGCCUAACACAUGCAAGUCGAACGAGACCACCGGGUCUUUUCGCGCACGGGUUCGUAACGCGUCGGAACCUUCCCACAGGUUCGGCAUAACUCUCCGACUGGGGUGCCAAUACGGAACCAUGUCUUCGGACCAAUGAUUUAUCGCCCUUGGUUGGUCCCUCGUUGGAUUAGCUUGUUGGUAGGGUAAUAGCUUACUAAGGCGACGAUGCAUAGCUGGUUUGAGAGGAUGAUCAGCCACACUGGGACUGAGACACGGCCCAGACUCCUACGCGAGGCAGCAGUGGGGAAUGUUGGACAAUGGGCGAAAGCCUGAUCCAGCAAGGCCGCGUGAGUGAUGAAGGCCGUAGGGUUGUAAAGCGCUUUUACCCGGGAUGAUAAUGACAGUACCGGGAGAAUAAGCUCCGGCUAACUACGUG